This 440-nucleotide ribosomal RNA is filed under the name uncultured bacterium. RNAcentral describes it as "partial 16S ribosomal RNA". It matches the Rfam family "Bacterial small subunit ribosomal RNA", at positions 338 to 795 of the family's 1533-position model. The record is from RNAcentral.
CCUACGGGUGGCAGCAGUGAGGAAUAUUGCUCAAUGGGUGAAACCCUGAAGCAGCAACGCCGCGUGAAGGAUGAAUGUUUUAGGAGUUUGAACUCCUUUUGUUAAAGGAAUUAAUGGCGGUAUCUGACGAAUCAGCACCGUCUAACUCCGUGCCAGCAGCCGCGGUAAUACGGAGGGUGCAAGCGUUACUCGGAAUAACUGGGCGUAAAGAGCUCGUAGAUGGGUUAGUAAGUCAGUUGUGAAAUCUUACGGCUCAACCGUAAAAUUGCAAUUGAAACUGUUAGUCUAGAGUACAGUUGAGGUAGGCGGAAUUCGUGGUGUAGCGGUGAAAUCCGUAGAGAUCACGAGGAACUCUGAUUGCGAAGGCGACUUACUAAACUGUCACUGACAUUGAUGCUCGAAAGUGUGGGUAGCAAACAGGAUUAGAUACCCGAGUAGUC